AGGAGGUGAAGAUGAAGUUAAAGGAGGUGGAGGAGGUGAAGAAGCUGAAGGAGGUGAAGAAGUUAAAGGGGGUGGAGGAGGUGAAGGAGAUGAAGUUAAAGGAGGUGGAGGAGGUGAAGAAGCUGAAGGAGGUGAAGAAGUUAAAGGGGGUGGAGGAGGUGAAGAAGCUGAAGGAGGUGAAGAAGUUAAAGGAGGUGGAGGAGGUGAAGCUCAGUAGGUUUUUCAGGGAGAUGUUUUAAAGAUUGUAGUUUAUCAGGUUAAUUUAUAAAGAUCUCAGAAACGGU
This is a long non-coding RNA of Astyanax mexicanus (Mexican tetra), 284 nucleotides long. RefSeq lists it as uncharacterized. The record is from RefSeq and is a predicted model, not a curated record. Lineage: Eukaryota; Metazoa; Chordata; Actinopteri; Characiformes; Acestrorhamphidae. The transcript has 4 exons.